AGGACGAACGCUGGCGGCGUGCUUAACACAUGCAAGUCGAGCGGAAAGGCCCUUCGGGGUACUCGAGCGGCGAACGGGUGAGUAACACGUGAGUAACCUGCCCCUAGCUCUGGGAUAGCUCCGGGAAACCGGGAUUAAUACCAGAUACGACCACUUUAGACAUCUGUCGUGGUGGAAAGGAUUCCGGCUAGGGAUGGGCUCGCGGCCUAUCAGCUUGUUGGUGGGGUAACGGCCUACCAAGGCGACGACGGGUAGCCGGCCUGAGAGGGCGACCGGCCGACACUGGGACUGAGACACGGCCCAGACUCCUACGGGAGGCAGCAGUGGGAAUAUUGCGCAAUGGGCGAAAGCCUGACGCAGCGACGCCGCGUGGGGGAUGAAGGCCUUCGGGUUGUAAACCCCUUUCAGCAGGGACGAAGCGAAAGUGACGGUACCUGCAGAAGAAGCGCCGGCUAACUACGUGCCAGCAGCCGC
This 474-nucleotide ribosomal RNA is filed under the name uncultured bacterium. RNAcentral's name for it is "SSU rRNA". It matches the Rfam family "Bacterial small subunit ribosomal RNA", at positions 26 to 518 of the family's 1533-position model. The record is from RNAcentral.